Molecule: long non-coding RNA, 3316 nt
Organism: Engraulis encrasicolus (European anchovy)
Lineage: Eukaryota; Metazoa; Chordata; Actinopteri; Clupeiformes; Engraulidae
Exons: 5
Source: RefSeq, a predicted model, not a curated record
UCUUGGUGCUGCAGGAAAGCCGUUUGAGAUAUUGGUGGAAUUCAAACACUUUGUGAGGUAAGUUCGUUUAUUUUCAAUGUUUCGUUAAUAAUUUCAAGACAAUGCCAAAUAUACAGUGAAUAACGAAACAGUUUCUUGUUCAGGAUGGUAAUUUGCAAUGAAUUUGUCUUCAGACCAUACCUCCGCUAACAGGCCACUAUUAUAACUACCGGUAUGCUAACUUAGCCCUAGGUUGUUUUCACAACUUUGUUGGAAAGUUUGUGUUUUGUUAGAAACAAACUCUACGAAAUUUACAAUAUAGAUUUGCUCCGAAAGAGCUAUAAAACUUGUCCAGUGGUGCCAAAACACCCAUGUCAGAGUCAAGACCUAGCUAAAUGUCCGCUAGCAACAUAGCUAUCAGUGGUUUCUGGAGGAGGGCCGAAGGGAGUGCUUCCCCGCCGGCCAGAGAUUGUUUGCGCCGGCCUCUUCACCUGAAAGAGCUAGCGCUGCAUGAUGAGGUGGUUCGCUAGCAACAAUUAGCUAUCUAACGGUUAAAUCAUGUUGCCUUUGUUGAGGGAUGUUUGAAAUAGCCCGAUGUAUUCAUAACUGAAUAUUGGUUUCUUGUUAGAAACGAACACAUUUUGGAUAUAAUUUUGUUCUGAAGUUACAACAUGCCAAGUUAGUGUUGUAAGACUGUUGGCGCCAAAGUUAAGAGCUAGCUAAAUGUCCGCUAGCAACAUUAGAGCUAGCCAAACUGAAUAAUGAAUCUCUUGUCCGCUAGCAACAUUAGCUAGCUAAAGUCUUUUUUUUGUUAGAAACGAACUCCCUUUGAGUAUAAUUAUGCUCUGAAGAUAUCCAGUUACUGUACUUGAGCCAAAGUAAAACACAAAUACCAGAGAGAAGAGCUAGCUAGAAGUUCGUUAGCAACAUCAGCUUAUCUUUUAGCUGACUCAGAAGCUUGAAGUAGCCACAACUUAUGCCUGAUUUUUAUUGUUAGAAACGAACUCAUUUUGACUCUACACUUGCUCUGAAGUAUGUUUUAACACAUGUGCCUUUCCCUGUUCGUUGUGUAAAGGAAGUGAGUAAGCAAACUGAUUCUGAACUUGUUAUUGUGCACACAGUGUGCUGUUUUGUCCCAUUCUGUUACUGCCAACUCUGUGGGCUGUUCUCUCUGUUCAGGGAGAAACCACUGUCAGCCAUCAGAUCGUGUUCUUUUCAAUAAAUAGGCAUUACCUAUUUGACAGAUUUCUCCUGAAAUAAUGAGCCCAGAAACACCCAGAUGUGUAGAGUGCUUAAUUUUUGGCUUGAUCAAAGAUGCUUAAUUUGUAUGGUUACUGCAAUAAAUAUUUAGAUUUCUUUGCCCAUCCUUUUUGGAUCUACUAGUAGGCCUAGUGAUUUUAGAGGUCUUAACAAGUGGGCUAUGCAUCAGAUUUCAUUUCAAGUGAUGGGUAAAAUAUCCAGAAAGAUAUAUAAUCUGUUCUUUUUGCCCUCUAGUUUAGCACACUGAAUUCUUUGAGCCAUCUGGUGUCAAUCCGUGUGGGAAAAUGAUCAAUGAAAACAAUUUAAGAAAUGUAUCUUAUAGAUGUUUCAUAUUGUAGGCCUAUUCAGCCUAUUGUGUCAUGGUGGUGUUAUCAUUUUUCAAACUUUAUUUUUGUGUAAUAAUUAGGCAUAUUGAUACAUAAUCAUGUUCAUGUUCUGUGCUGUCUUGCUUUGCAGAUGACAGAAUAUUGCUGAAGGAUCCUACAUGGAAGCUGGCUGAUUACAUGGAGUGAUUCCUCUGGUGUGGUGUACCUCAGAGAAAUAAACACUGUUGCAAGAGCUGAGAAGAUGGCCAAGAUAUCCUUAUUGCUGGAUGGUAGCUCUGGUCGUAGUGGACCAUAUCUGCAAAUGCUUCUGAACAUUGACAGAAUUUCUAAAGCUCAGAAGAUAUCCUUAUUGCUGGAUGGUUGCUCUCUGGUCGUACUUGAGCCCCCUGGACCAUGUCUGCAAAUGCUUCUGAACAUUGACAGAAUUUCUAAAGGAUCGCUGAGGACUCCCCCUCCAUGCGUGACAUCUUUGAGAAAUUUCCACGCUUUCUGGAGAUGCCAAGUUUGACUGGAACCAACUUUGCAUCCCUCGGCACUGACACUGAGAAGGUUUCAAGGACCCCACUACUAGGAGGCGAGAGUUUGACACGGCAGUGUCAUCACUGCCAUGGAUGACAAUGUAACCAAUCCUGUUGCUGAUUGCCUGACUUGCGCAGUGACAAGCUUUUCAUGCUCUACUGGGUGUGUAACUUGGCAUAUCCACCACAGUUUAACUCUGUUUUUGCCUCUUUUGAAUAUGUGUACGAUAUAACCAUCUCAACCAAAAAGUGGGCCAAGGUACUGGAACAUUUCUCACUUCAAGUUGCUCUGUAGUCACUGGACAUUUUUUAAAACAUCUACGCAAACACCACCACUCCACACCAUGUGUAUUUUAAUUACUUCUGAUUCCACUGACAUGCAGACUACAUCCUAUGCAGAUUCAGGUAAUUUACCUGGUACUGGAGAAACAGCAUUGUAUGCCAUUCUAAGUGAUACUUGCCUCCUUGUUUUGCAAAAAUGUACUGUUCUUUGAAUAUAACUUAAAGUAAGAUCAUGUUGACUCUGAGGUUUUCUCCGGUUGUCAAGCACAACCUUAACGUUUUGUAAGUAAGUAAUAGUCACAGGAUAUGCAUGCAUUUGUAAUUUGAAUUUUCGUCGAAAACGGCUCACCAAGCAUAAAAUGUUACCUCUGCUUUUGAUUUUUCUUUUUCUUUUUUAAAUGUCCCUUAAUACCAGCCUGUCUUUUUGUUGUGUCCACACAACUUUACCAUCAUCAGUGUUGGGAAGGAACAGAUUGCUGUAAGUUACUAUAUCCCCAUCCUUUCAGAUCAGUGCUUUAAAGCCUUUUGAAAUUAAAUUGUUAAUAAACUUUGUGAAAACAAACUCAAAUCUUGGUUAUUGGUUAUGAUUGAUAUAGCUUUGAAACUGUUAAUUUGGAGUGAAGUAAUUGCAGUGUCCAUCUAACCAAGCAAAUCGGUUAAAAUUUUAACCAAUAUCUGUGUCGGACACAUAUUAAUCGAACAAAUUGGUCAAAACAACCAUUGGGGGAUUGGUACAUUUUUGACUUAUAAAGAUUGGUUAAACAUAACCAAUCUAUUGGUCAAAACAACCGAUUUGGAAUUGGUUAGUUUUUUAACCGAUCUAGAUUGGUUGAAAUUUUAACUGAAGUCUAAUCGGUUAUUUUGACUAAUAUUUUUCUCGGACACAUAUUAAUCGAACAGAUCGGUUAAAAACUACUAAUUUUUUGUUUAUUUUAACCAAUCUUUUUUAAG